AGAGAGAGAGAGAGAGAAAGAGAGAGAGAGAAGAGAGAGAGUGAGAAAUUACGGUGAUUUUGAAAAAGAGACAAACAGAGUGUGUAGGAGAUAGGAAAUGCAUGGAAUAGAGGAAGAGAGGAAUAGAGGAAUAGAAUUUUAGAGGAAUAGAGAAGAAGUAAAAAGACGAGCAGUAGAUAGAACGACGAAAGCCAAGCUUCGAAGUAAAAGCGAAUACUUUGCCAUCAUGACUUAUAUACAACGCUUCAACUCCUUUGGAUAUCCUUACACGAUCUUCAUCGGAUUCAUGGCAGCUAUGAACGUUGCACAAGGCACGAA
RNAcentral lists this long non-coding RNA (318 nucleotides) under Octopus sinensis (East Asian common octopus). RNAcentral describes it as "uncharacterized LOC118767927, transcript variant X2". Lineage: Eukaryota; Metazoa; Mollusca; Cephalopoda; Octopoda; Octopodidae. The record is from RNAcentral.